GGCAGGACGGCCCUCACCGCCCCUCCAGGGCCGCGCCGCUGGGUUGCGAGUGGAGCUGCUUGUCGCCUUCCUCGGAGCGGCUCCUGGCUGCUGUAGAACUCCACCUAAUCCUAGUUUGAGGAAACUGCAAGUUAAGAGAAAGCACUGUUCAGUUAUGAAACUUCCACGUUACUCUUAAAGAUCAGUAACAAACUAAGAAAACAGCAGAGAGACUGAACGUACAUGCUGCCAUGGUACAGAUGACUCAUGUCCUAAUCCUGGUAUCAGCAAUUCUUUGGGAAGUGAUACUGACAAAGCAAGGCUUUCUGCAGGUGUAGGAAACCAUGCAGGAUGAUCUGACUGUAGGACUUGGCAAGGAAAUGAUUUUGGCUUCAUUUUCAGAAAGACAGGACUUAAAACAUGAGUUGGGACAAGAUGAAAUGUAUAAGAGGGAAAAUUCAUUCAUGAGUAUUCAGGAAAACAAAAUUCCAACUGGACUGUACAAUUUGUGGCACAUGCUUCAGCCUGGGAUGCCUGGCUGCUGGAAACAAGAGACACUGCAAAAAGAAGAACCGGGCUGGGAAAUCUGAGGACUCUAAAUAAACCACAGCAAGAACAGAGAAAGACAUCAUUCUGAAGGUUCUGGGAACAGCAGAGAGAAAUGGCAAUAUGUGAAAGAUGCAUUGAAAUGCAUUGAAGGCCUCCACCUCUGCCUUAGAAACAAAGGAAUAUGAGAAAUAGAAGGAAGAAACAGGUAGAAAAUAAAGAGGAAUGGCUGAAAUUAUUUUAUCCCACAACACAGAAGACUUUGGAAGAAGGAAAAUGUACUGAAAUAAAAAAAAAAAAAAACAACAGUGAAGUGAAAUAAGGAAAAGCCAACACUUUAAUAUACUGUAUUACUUAUUCCAUUAUUAUGUUUUCCCAUGACAAUUUAUUGAUGGCAUUUCAUGGAUCAUCAAUAAAGUAACACUACAUAAAUCCCCAGAAUCUUAUUUCCUUCUGGUGUUAGUGCUAAAUUGGCGCUAACCUGUCAUUCAUGACAAAAGGGCAACCAGUUUCUUUGCUCAGCUUGAAUACCCGAAUAAGGAACAUCAAGAUAAACAAAUUAAUAAAUAAUUAGUUUCAAGGUAUUUUCAAAGCAAAUGGACAACUUCUGUUACCAAGAAGAAAGAGCAUUUGACAGCUAAUAAGACAGCGAGGCAUUCAACUUCCAAACAAUAAAAGGUGAGAGUUAAUAUUACACUGAUGAACCACAAGCAUACUGCUGGUUGGUUUUUUAUUAACAUUAAUGAAUGAGCUCAUAAUACUGAUCAGAAGUGGUGGUGGUGGUUUUUUUUUGAUUUGUUUUGCGGUUUUUUUUGUUUGUUUGUUUUUUGUUGUUUUUUUUUCUUUGUCCACACAUCUCACAAAAGAAUUUCAUGUGACAAACACUAUGGUACGUAUGGCAGAAACAAACAG
Molecule: long non-coding RNA, 1437 nt
Organism: Numida meleagris (helmeted guineafowl)
Lineage: Eukaryota; Metazoa; Chordata; Aves; Galliformes; Numididae
Exons: 5
Source: RefSeq, a predicted model, not a curated record